Molecule: transfer RNA, 91 nt
Filed under: Streptomyces fildesensis
Lineage: Bacteria; Bacillati; Actinomycetota; Actinomycetes; Kitasatosporales; Streptomycetaceae
Also listed under: 12 other names
Description: tRNA-Ser
Rfam family: tRNA
About the family: Transfer RNA (tRNA) molecules are approximately 80 nucleotides in length.
Source: RNAcentral
GGAGGCUUCGCCUAGUCUGGUCUAUGGCGCCGCACUGCUAAUGCGGUUUGGGACUUCAAUCCCAUCCGGGGUUCAAAUCCCCGAGCCUCCG